Molecule: long non-coding RNA, 1868 nt
Organism: Hyposmocoma kahamanoa
Lineage: Eukaryota; Metazoa; Arthropoda; Insecta; Lepidoptera; Cosmopterigidae
Exons: 3
Source: RefSeq, a predicted model, not a curated record
ACUCUGAUUUUACGCAAAAAUACAGGUGUGCAAACAUGGCCUAAGCGCAAACGAAUAAUAGUGGAAGUGAUGUUUUUAGGCAAAUCGCGACGUUUAAAAAACCAGGGUUUAGUGGGUAGAUUUGGUUGGAGAUUACCAUAGUGUCUACCAACAGUUUGUCGUGAUUCCUGCCAAAGGACCGACCAGGAGGCUAGCAUUUGGGGUUUAGUCAUGGCGAGCAGAUCUCUGGGAAAGCACUUACAGUAUUUGCACACGCCAAUUCUUGUCGCAUCCUUUGCAAAGGCGUCUACUGCUUCGUUGCCACUGAUCCCAGUGUGACCGGGAAUCCAGGCCAGAGUUACCUCAAUUCCCGCACAAUGACAUCGGUACAGAGCUUCCUUAAUUUGGAGGGUGAUGGAGAAAUUGUCUUUGGAAUGAAACGGUAGCUUAAUAAUGUCUUGGAGGCAACUUAGUGAGUCUGAGAAAACCAAACAUUUAUUAAUUUUAUGGGACUCAAUAUAUAAAAUGGCUUCGAGUAUUGCAAUUGCCUCUCCCGAAAAGACCGAAUUCAGAUAGGGGGAUUUAAAACUGAGUACGACAUUGAACUUGGGGAACCAAACCGCGGCUCCCAAGUCGCCAUGUUCGUGUAAUUUUGAAGCGUCGGUAAAAACAGUAGUCCAGUCAUGCCAUUCUCUCUCAACUAUAUCGUUGAAGACUUGGUUUGCUCCAGGGGUAUCUUUCAUGAUGCCAAAACUAAGAUAGACUGUUGGGCGAAACGUUAAACAUUUAAAAUCAGUUUCAAACAACGGGUUCAUAUAAUUUUGGUAAAUAGGGAAUGGGAGAUUGGAAAUUUUGUUAAAACUGUUGAUAAGAAGGGGGGGUUUCUUGUGUGACCAAUAAUUGGAGGAAGGGAUAAUCUCCGACAAGGAUUGCAAUACGGGAAGCAAAGGGUGAGAAGAAUAUUGAAAGAUCUUGAAGAGGAAUCUAUUAGCAAGGAAUUGUCUACGUAGAUGUAGAGGGGGCUCCAGACAUUCGACUUGAAGAGCGUUUGUUGAAGGAAGCCGCCAUAAUCAAAAUGACUUCUAAUGAUUGCGUUGUACAGGAGCUUUUGGUUAUACGGAUGUGAUCCCCAACGAACACCAGAAAGUGCACUUUCAGGGAGGCGUCUCUUGCGGGAAAAAACGACAGCUGUGCUUUUGUUAGCUGAAAGAGAGAGGCCGUGAUCGGUAAGCCAAGAGUCUAGGUAAAAAAGGGCAGAGUUGAGGCGUCUUUCAGUAUCUGAAAAAGAUUUGGAACAAGCGUACAGGGCGAUAUCGUCUGCAUAUUGCAAGAUUUUGCAGAAGCAAUUGACUGAAGUGCCGAGGUCAGACGUGUACAAGCUGAAAAGGAGAGGGCUAAGAACGGAACCUUGAGGCAAGCCGUUCCAGACCAUACGGGAGGGGGUUGUGGAACCGUUAACACGCACUGCGAUAGAGCGACCCAUAAACAUGUUGUAAAUGACAUUGAUCAUCUUCACAGGAAUACACAGAUUGAGCAUCUUCUGCCAGAGUAGUGGAAGGUUCACGUUAUCAUAAGCUGAUGUUAUGUCUAAGAACACACCUAUGACGUGUUUUCCCUCGGAGAGGGCUAGUCGAACAUCUGAUGAAAAAAUGCUUAGGCUGUCCAUAGUGCCCAUGCCUUUUCGGAAGCCAAACUGGCUUCUGGGUAACAAUCCCUUGCUCUCUACUAUCCAUUCCAGACGGUUUUUUAUUAGGUGUUCCAUGAUUUUAGCUAAAACAGAUGAUAGGGCGAUAGGUCGAUACGAGUUUGCAUUAGAUGGGUCUUUCCCAGGUUUUAUGAUUGGAAUGAUAAUUUGGGUUUUCCAUGAAAUAGGGACUAUGCCAGAUUCA